RNAcentral lists this ribosomal RNA (468 nucleotides) under uncultured bacterium. RNAcentral describes it as "partial 16S ribosomal RNA". It matches the Rfam family "Bacterial small subunit ribosomal RNA", at positions 28 to 507 of the family's 1533-position model. The record is from RNAcentral.
GACGAACGCUGGCGGCGUGCUUAACACAUGCAAGUCGAACGGAAAGGCCCUGCUUUUGUGGGGUGCUCGAGUGGCGAACGGGUGAGUAACACGUGAGUAACCUGCCCUUGACUUUGGGAUAACUUCAGGAAACUGGGGCUAAUACCGGAUAGGAGCUCCUGCUGCAUGGUGGGGGUUGGAAAGUUUCGGCGGUUGGGGAUGGACUCGCGGCUUAUCAGCUUGUUGGUGGGGUAGUGGCUUACCAAGGCUUUGACGGGUAGCCGGCCUGAGAGGGUGACCGGCCACACUGGGACGGAGAUACGGCCCAGACUCCUACGGGAGGCAGCAGUGGGGAAUAUUGCACAAUGGGCGGAAGCCUGAUGCAGCAACGCCGCGUGCGGGAUGACGGCCUUCGGGUUGUAAACCGCUUUCGCCUGUGACGAAGCGUGAGUGACGGUAAUGGGUAAAGAAGCACCGGCUAACUACGUG